Molecule: ribosomal RNA, 253 nt
Filed under: uncultured bacterium
Lineage: Bacteria
Description: partial 16S ribosomal RNA
Rfam family: Bacterial small subunit ribosomal RNA
Source: RNAcentral
UACGUAGGGUGCAAGCGUUAAUCGGAAUUACUGGGCGUAAAGCGUGCGCAGGCGGUUGUGUAAGACAGAUGUGAAAUCCCCGGGCUCAACCUCUGGCCUGCAUCCGAUACUGCCCGACUAGAGGUAGGUAGGGGAGAUCGGAAUUCCUGGUGUAGCGGUGAAAUGCGCAGAUAUCAGGAGGAACACCGGUGGCGAAGGCGGAUCUCUGGGACGGUACUGACGCUGAGACGCGAAAGCGUGGGGAGCGAACAGG